AACGUAGGUGGCGAGCGUUAUCCGGAUUUACUGGGCGUAAAGCGUGUGCAGGCGGGUGAACAAGUGGUGUAUGAAAGGUUCGGCUCAACCGAGAUAGGUUAUGCCAGACUGUUACCUAGAGUGUGAGAGAGGGACGUGGAAUUCCUGGUGUAGCGGUGAAAUGCGCAGAUAUCAGGAGGAACACCGGUGGCGAAGGCGGGUCUCUGGCCGUAACUGACGCUGAGGAGCGAAGACGUGGGGAGCGAACAGG
RNAcentral lists this ribosomal RNA (250 nucleotides) under uncultured bacterium. RNAcentral's name for it is "partial 16S ribosomal RNA". It matches the Rfam family "Bacterial small subunit ribosomal RNA", at positions 524 to 776 of the family's 1533-position model. The record is from RNAcentral.